GCUGCAAGCAGGGCCGCUCUGAGCAAGCAAGGGAGCCCAGAGCCGCUGUUGGCCCUGCCCACCAACUGGCCAGAGGGAAGGCCUUCUGUGAUUUGUGUGGGCUGCAUCAUUCCUCUCUCCAGAAGAUCUUCUCUCUUCUAAGGGCAUCAAGACAUUUUAGAGCCACUCAGCUCAGCUCCCAGCUUCCUUGAGAUCCCACGGCACCUGCAGCCCUGCUGGCCCAUUCUGCACUGCCCGCUCAUGAAGCUGUCUCUCCUUUCUUAGCCAGUAGUAAGCCUCCCCACCAGGCCCGUGGACUCCGUGGGAGGUGAGCUCCAGAAGGGAAGGGAGCUCGUUCACAGCUUUCUCUCUCUGUAUCUCCUGUGACUUGAAUGGACUCAGCACACAGCAGGCCUGAGUGAAGGAUGCUUGUGGUUGCUAUGGCUUACAUGACAACGAAUUGUCUGUAAUCCUACAGGACUAUGGCACAUGAAAGCUGGAAGCGCUUCUUUCCAACUGCAUCGCCCAGCACCAGAGCCCGAGUUCUGUAAAGCUCUGUUAAAGGCACAUGAGCUGUGCUGGCUUCAACUGCUCUGAACUUGGAUAAGCUGGGUCGCUGAUGGACCCUUCCCAACCAGUUGUUGCUGCCUUGGUUUCCCGACAGUCCACUGUGCUGAGCCUGCCGCAGGGACUCCCAGCUUUGCAUCAACUCCAUUCAACACCUACUGUGUGCAGGGACCAGAGGGUGUGGAGGUGGCAUUCCCUGCUUUAUCUUGAUAAGUAAACGUUUGUCUCCUGCCCACUCAUCAGUGAAGCAGAACAACUACGUAGCAGUCUCCUGGGAGCCACCCCUCCAGAACCUCUGGAUGUCAACAGACACCAUCUACUUAUGGGAUUCAGCCAGCACAUGUGUAGACUGGAGCUGCAAGUGAGAAGAGGCAUAUGGCAGGGCAUGCACAGGCCAAGCCUUAGGGACCCGAGGAGCUCAUCUGGGGCAGAUGGUCAUCAAAUGAAAGGAGUCCCUGGAAAAACUAUUACCUGGUCCCCACAGGAGUUAACCUGACUGCCCAAGUUCACCAGUCGGCAGCCUAGCGUGUCACCUUAAAAUUCAGUUCCAAAAGAUGGGCUGACUUCUCAUUUUAGAGAUGAAGACAGAGAGGCCCAGAGAGGGGCAGAGAUUCAUCCAAGGCAAAGCCAGGCAGAGCCAGUUGCCAUGGUUACUCUCUUUAAUGGAUGAGGAAGUUGAGGCACAAAUUGGGCUAGGAAACUUGCUGAAGGUCCCAUGGGCAGUAAAUGACAAAGCUAGGGUGGGAGUGAUCCUAAGAUGCUGCUCCCACCGACAACUGUGAACCAAUGUGAGGGCCCCGUCUCCCUCCCAGGGGCCUUGCUAGCCCAGGGCUGCAGACUCUUCCCAGCCACCCCUGCCCUGGAGAGUUAGGCCCGACAGACCACACCAGCUCGGGGAACAUAACAAAGGCCACGCGGAGGACAGAGUGGCCCGGCAGCGCCUCUGUGGACAUGCGACGCAGACAUCACAAGAUGAUUUAUGUAACCUCUUACAUAAUGGCAGCAUUUCUAUCAAAGACCAGCCCGCGGCAGGCUGUCAGCUGUAAUCAGAGUGGACGUGCUUCUUGCUUCCUGGGAACAGGAGGCACCAGGUCAAAGCCAACCCCUUUGGCUGCCAGGCCGAGGGCUUCCUGCGCUGGUGAAGUUGCCUGGUGUGGCUGUGCCCUCAGAGGAGGCAGAGACCUUGUAAUGCCCCAGAGUAGUCACAGCCCAGCUCAGCCAGCCCCAGCACCCCUGGCUGCCGUCCACCUCCAGUGACAGAGACCACUAUCAAUGUGAUCAAGUCCCACGCUGGAAGUGCUUUCAACCAUAUUAUUGUACCAUGAAAGGGAGACUGGCUUCAGACAUAAGAUCUUUGAACUCUGCCCCUACCUGGCUGUGUGAUCUUGAGGUAGUCACUCACCCUCUCUGGGCCUCAGUUUCCUGGUUGAAUUACAUCAUCAAUGCUUGACCUCUGUGCUGCACACAUGGGUAUUGAUACGGUGCUAUCAUGUGAUACGGUGCUAUAUGAUAGCGUGCCACAAGUCGGUGCUACUUAUAUUUGGCAAAUGAUUUGGUUUUUCCUAGUGUAAAUCCGAGCAGAUUCAACAUCAUAAAAUCAGGUAAGCCC
Pan troglodytes (chimpanzee) is the source of this 2155-nucleotide long non-coding RNA. RefSeq lists it as uncharacterized. The record is from RefSeq and is a predicted model, not a curated record. NCBI's taxonomy places the organism in Eukaryota, Metazoa, Chordata, Mammalia, Primates, Hominidae. The transcript is spliced from 6 exons.